This is a non-coding RNA of Caenorhabditis elegans, 523 nucleotides long. Ensembl annotates it as ncRNA. Its record names the gene anr-37. The record is from Ensembl. NCBI's taxonomy places the organism in Eukaryota, Metazoa, Nematoda, Chromadorea, Rhabditida, Rhabditidae.
GUGCAUAAAAUUUGGGAAUGAAUAACAAAUGACCUUUUUAUUUAAUAAAACAUAACCGCUGCAGCGCUGGAAGGUGUAAGUGUCAAAAUUAUUGUUGUUUUCAAAUAUUCCACAUUUCUUAUAUCUGAAGUGUAUGUAGUAUAAAAGCAAUUUUCUGAAAAUACUUUGAAAAAACGCACAUAAACUGCCGAUCUACUCUAUUUGUAAUUUUUUAGUUUAUAAUUGAACAGUAAUGGAACGCGAAAUCGAAAGGAUACAAAUAGAUGAUCACAGACGCGAACAAACGUUUCAUCGUGAUGCAGCGCAACGAAGAGAGAUGUUGGAUGAAUACUUUGAGAAUCUACACAGGAGAAUAUGUGAGGAAGCAAGACAUUUAAAAGAAGAGAUACAUGCCACCCGAAGGGAGUUGAAUGAACUGUUUAAGGAUGAUUAAAAUUAUCUUCUUUUUUUCCACAAUUUCUCUUGAGAUUUAAUAUUCAAUUUUUAUAAAUCGGGUUAACCAAUAAAUUCGAAAAAUAAGUUG